This 63-nucleotide small nucleolar RNA is filed under the name Macleaya cordata. RNAcentral's name for it is "Small nucleolar RNA snoR101". It matches the Rfam family "Small nucleolar RNA snoR101". The record is from Rfam by way of RNAcentral. Lineage: Eukaryota; Viridiplantae; Streptophyta; Magnoliopsida; Ranunculales; Papaveraceae.
UUUUUACACUUGAUCUCUGAACUUUAGGUAAGUUCAUGUUGACAAGUUCACAUUACUGAUGCC